GGCCUCGUAGCUCAGUUGGCUAGAGCGUUGGCUGUACUAAAGCCUCUCCCUUGCUGGUGUGGGUUCGAAUCCCACCGAGGCCA
Molecule: non-coding RNA, 83 nt
Organism: Schistocephalus solidus
Lineage: Eukaryota; Metazoa; Platyhelminthes; Cestoda; Diphyllobothriidea; Diphyllobothriidae
Source: Rfam